RNAcentral lists this ribosomal RNA (1288 nucleotides) under Escherichia coli. RNAcentral describes it as "partial 23S ribosomal RNA". It matches the Rfam family "Bacterial large subunit ribosomal RNA", at positions 1 to 1319 of the family's 2925-position model. Lineage: Bacteria; Pseudomonadati; Pseudomonadota; Gammaproteobacteria; Enterobacterales; Enterobacteriaceae. The record is from RNAcentral.
GGGUUGUGAGGUUAAGCGACUAAGCGUACACGGUGGAUGCCCUGGCAGUCAGAGGCGAUGAAGGACGUGCUAAUCUGCGAUAAGCGUCGGUAAGGUGAUAUGAACCGUUAUAACCGGCGAUUUCCGAAUGGGGAAACCCAGUGUGAUUCGUCACACUAUCAUUAACUGAAUCCAUAGGUUAAUGAGGCGAACCGGGGGAACUGAAACAUCUAAGUACCCCGAGGAAAAGAAAUCAACCGAGAUUCCCCCAGUAGCGGCGAGCGAACGGGGAGCAGCCCAGAGCCUGAAUCAGUGUGUGUGUUAGUGGAAGCGUCUGGAAAGGCGCGCGAUACAGGGUGACAGCCCCGUACACAAAAAUGCACAUGCUGUGAGCUCGAUGAGUAGGGCGGGACACGUGGUAUCCUGUCUGAAUAUGGGGGGACCAUCCUCCAAGGCUAAAUACUCCUGACUGACCGAUAGUGAACCAGUACCGUGAGGGAAAGGCGAAAAGAACCCCGGCGAGGGGAGUGAAAAAGAACCUGAAACCGUGUACGUACAAGCAGUGGGAGCACGCUUAGGCGUGUGACUGCGUACCUUUUGUAUAAUGGGUCAGCGACUUAUAUUCUGUAGCAAGGUUAACCGAAUAGGGGAGCCGAAGGGAAACCGAGUCUUAACUGGGCGUUAAGUUGCAGGGUAUAGACCCGAAACCCGGUGAUCUAGCCAUGGGCAGGUUGAAGGUUGGGUAACACUAACUGGAGGACCGAACCGACUAAUGUUGAAAAAUUAGCGGAUGACUUGUGGCUGGGGGUGAAAGGCCAAUCAAACCGGGAGAUAGCUGGUUCUCCCCGAAAGCUAUUUAGGUAGCGCCUCGUGAAUUCAUCUCCGGGGGUAGAGCACUGUUUCGGCAAGGGGGUCAUCCCGACUUACCAACCCGAUGCAAACUGCGAAUACCGGAGAAUGUUAUCACGGGAGACACACGGCGGGUGCUAACGUCCGUCGUGAAGAGGGAAACAACCCAGACCGCCAGCUAAGGUCCCAAAGUCAUGGUUAAGUGGGAAACGAUGUGGGAAGGCCCAGACAGCCAGGAUGUUGGCUUAGAAGCAGCCAUCAUUUAAAGAAAGCGUAAUAGCUCACUGGUCGAGUCGGCCUGCGCGGAAGAUGUAACGGGGCUAAACCAUGCACCGAAGCUGCGGCAGCGACGCUGAUGCGUUGUUGGGUAGGGGAGCGUUCUGUAAGCCUGCGAAGGUGUGCUGUGAGGCAUGCUGGAGGUAUCAGAAGUGCGAAUGCUGACAUAAGUAACGAUAAAGCG